RNAcentral lists this long non-coding RNA (698 nucleotides) under Rattus norvegicus (Norway rat). RNAcentral's name for it is "long non-coding RNA NONRATT023202". Lineage: Eukaryota; Metazoa; Chordata; Mammalia; Rodentia; Muridae. The record is from RNAcentral.
UUUUUUUAGUUUGGUUUUUAUUUUGGUUUGGGGGUUUUGUUUUUGUCGUUGUUGGUUUUUUGGCUUUGUGUGUGUGUGUGGGGGUGGGUGGGUUUUUGUUUUGUUUUGUUUUUGUUUUCAUGAAUCACGAUAUUUUGUACUUUUAAAAGCUCCAACCUCCACAAAACAACUCAAGGCCUCCAAAUAUCAGGAUGUCCUGAAAAAAUUUUUUUAGCAGAAUCUGAAAUUUGAUUUUAUACGCUCCCUGAAAUGUAAUUUGCUAACAUUAUUAAAUUUGGGCCUCUUGUGAUAAUCACAUACAAUCUGCCUGCCUGCCUGCCUGCUUCUGAGUGUUUUCCCAGCAUCUCCAGGCCUCCUUAAGUCUGUCCCCCACCGUGCAUCUGCUUACCUCAUGCUGCUCUUUGUUUCAGAUUAUGAAAGCUCACAGGGGUGUUUGUUGGAAUCAUUUGCUGAGUCAUUUCCUCAAAUCAUAUUCCAUUGUGUCAGUUAACAUAGUUUUAAAUGUAUGUAUUAUAAAUAUCUGUAACCAAAAUCAUUUGAAGGCUUGAUAAAUUUUUAACAAAGUUUGUACAUUUUUUAUGAAAGUUACUAGUAAUGCUUUACUAAGUAGUGCAAUGAAUUUUUAUUUUUAAUCCCUGUGCCCAAUUUUGGAGUUGAGAGGGUUGUUGGUAAUAAAUGUAUGAUGUACACUUAAAACA